This is a long non-coding RNA of Cavia porcellus (domestic guinea pig), 3166 nucleotides long. RefSeq lists it as uncharacterized. The transcript is spliced from 3 exons. The record is from RefSeq and is a predicted model, not a curated record. NCBI's taxonomy places the organism in Eukaryota, Metazoa, Chordata, Mammalia, Rodentia, Caviidae.
UCACUCUGUCCAGCCCCAACCGGCGCCAGCCCCGCCUGCCUUCCUCCUUCCAGGACACAAGGCCUGCAUUUCAGGCCCAGGGUUGAGGUCUCCACCCUGCAGCCCAGGAAGCCGGGAAUCCCCAGAUCAGCAGUACAGGGUCCUGGCCCAGACAGCUCAGGAGCUCCGAGGUGGUCCAGGCCGUGGAUGACCUCAUGGGUCUUUCCCAUGCCUGAGUCACUGCAGCUCACCGACUGACCCUGAGGACACCAGGGGAGGAGGGGACGUGGCAGCUCCGCUCGGUGGUUGGUGGUUGUCCGGGGCAGGCCAGGCCUGGCCUCUGCUGCCCACUCUGCAGGGGAGAUGGGAAGGAGGCGGAGCUACCUUGGGGUGCUCUUGGAUGGAGGUGCCCCUACCUCUCUGGGCUGUGUCACUCUCUCUACACGUGGCCUGUGGAUGUGGCUGUCCUCUCUGUCCCUUCUCCUUGUACAGAUGGAGAAACUGAGGUACAGAGAGGAGCAGGGAUUCACUGAAGAUCACAAAGUCCUGGUGGAUCAAGAUGAGGGGCUCCGUACCUUCCCUGGAAUUUGGGCUCUGCAGAUGUCUGGUGAGUAUGAUGGCAUGAUGCCAAGGAAACAUCUGGACCCAGGCUGGAAGAACUCAAGGCUCCAUGCGCACCUCCAGAAGGCUUCUGCUGGGAAGCUGGCCUCCAUGUUAUAAGGAAGCUCAAUAGCCCCACGAAAAGGACCGGCAAGAAUGACUCUCCACUGCAGCAGGCGGCCCCACUGAUGCUGCGUGGAGCAUUUCUUCGGUGAUAUGAGUGAUCGAUCGCAUUUGUUUGAAGCCACUAAUUUUUCUUUGGUUUUUUGAGACAGAGUCUCGCUAAAUUGGCUGAGCUGGCUUUGAACUCACUAUGUAGUUUAGCUAGUCUCAAACUCCAGCUGGGGUUGUGGCUCAGUGGCAGAGCUUUUACCUUGCAUGCACAAGGCCUUGGGUUCAGACCCCACCACUACCCACUCAAACCUGCAGUGACGCCCCAGCAGGGUGGUCUGGGGGUUCAAAAGGAGGCUGCCAAGGUGAUCACGUAGGCCUUAGAAUGUCAUGUGCCCAUGUUUGUCACAUGUGCACACCUGUGAGUGUACGCAUGAGCACCCUGGUGCGGAGCACACAUCUGUGUACAUAUUACUGUGCAUGUCACAUACACAAUCCCAUACGAGGCCAUGCAACUGUGUGAGUGCUGUGUGAACAGCGUGUCCUUAUGCUGUGCCCUCCUGCUGGGCGUGUGCCCUGGUGGCCAGCAAAGUACAGCACAGUAGCAGCUGCUUCAUCUGGCCCUGCUACUCUGCAUUUGGGAACUAAAUAUAGCUGGUGUCCAGCCCUGUUCCAGCCCCACAGGACACCCUGGCUGGGCCUUGGGCUCCCAUGAGCUUAUGCAGGCCAGGCCCAGCCAGGGCACAGGGAGGCCAAGGCCCUGCCCACGGUCCCACAGUGGACACAGCCAAGCCUGAUAAGGUCAAGCAGGGAGUAGGGGCUGCCCCUCCCUCAGCCAGGGCCAGCUGGGCGGAUGUGAGUCAGCACAGGGGGCACAGACAGCCAGGCCUGACCAAGGCUUGGUGAUAGGGAAGCCUAGUGCAGGGCUGCCUUCCUGGGCAGGCUUGGCAUCGAUGGGAGGAACCACCUGCCAGGUUGGCCAGGCUCUAACCUCAUUCUCCACCUUGAGGAACCCCAUGUCCUCUUCUGCCCAGAAAACCCCUGGCCGAGGCCCUAGCUACUUCCUGCUGGGUCUGGCCGGACCCUGGGCCUCUGGAGGGCUGUUCCCAGCCUUCCACUCUGCAUGGGUCGCCCCCAGGGCUUCCCUGACCCCUUCCUCAGGAAGCCCCCUGACUUCAGCUCCUGGCUCCUUCUGGGGGAGUCCCUUCCAGGCCCAGAUCUGAACUUCUGAAGGCUCUGUAUGUUUUCUUGUCUCUGUUCCCCUGGUGCUCCAUCUGGGGUCCCUGUCACCAUGCAGGAGGCCCUUUGGACACUAGUAGAGGCCCCAGGUGGACACGGGAAACUGCGGUGAGGUAGGCAUCAUCAGGGCCUCUAGGGCUUUUGCACUGUGCUGCUAGUCCAGUUGUUUAGAGAAAUAAAAGAAAUUUUUUUGAGACUGAGUCUCUCUAUGUUGCUAAAUUGUCCAGGCCGGGCUUGAAUUUGCAAUCCACCUGCCUCAGCCUCCCAGCAGAUGCUUCACUUAACAGAUGAGGACCCUGAGGCUUAGAGAGGGGGUGUGACCAGCCCGAGGUCACACAGUGCAGAGCAGCCCAGGCAGAUCUUGAGAAAUGCUCCUCACGUGUUUCCGAGCAGCCUCGUGGCUCUGUGGUGACAGUGAAAGAGGAAAAGACACCGGUCUGUCCUCUACAUGGAGGGCGGCAUGAAAGGCUCCACCUGCAGGCACCAGAUGGCACCAUGUCCAAUGAAGAAGUACUUUUUGCUGGGCUGGACGGCACCUGUAAUCUUUAGCAUUCAGAAGGCUGGGACAGGAGGGUCACAAGUUUGAGCCCAGCCUGGUCAACUCAAUGACUUACUGAGAUCUUGUCAUAAAAUAAAAUAGGGCUGGGGGCAUAACUCAGUGCAAAGUCCCUGGGUUCAAUCCCUUGUACUGCGAAUAAAAAUUCAUGAGUGAUGCACACAGCUUUUUUUUAGCAAAUAUAAAUUCAGGGCCAGAGGUGUAGCUCAGCGUCAGAGCGCUGGCCCUGCUUUUCACUCCCAGGACAUUAAAAAAAAAGGAAAUUCAGAAAAACUCAUUCCUGAUGGGGUCACACUGUCACGCAUUAGUUUCCUAUUGCUGCUGUAGCGAGUGACACAAACUUGCUGCUUCAAAUGACACGACAGAAUCCUUCCUGGUCCCGGAAGUCAGGAAUGGGAGAAGGAUCUCAGGGCCUGCGACACGGCAGCCGCAGCAGCAGCAGGACUGGUCCCUUCUAUCUGCCUUCUUCCCGAUGCCAACUGGUGCCCUGACCCCUGUGACAUCUCUGUCUCCGCCCCUGGCUCCUUUGCCCCCACUUCCACAGCUACAUUGGGGACCCCGGGAAGCAUGGCUGGGGAGGAAUUGAACAAAGGGGUCGGGGGCUUCCUCCUCAUAGCUCGACAGGUGAGCGGUGUCUGCACAUUUCUCCUGUAACCAGCACAGCUCUGAACGACUGAAUCA